AUUGAACGCUGGCGGCAUGCCUUACACAUGCAAGUCGAACGGCAGCACGGGAGCAAUCCUGGUGGCGAGUGGCGAACGGGUGAGUAAUAUAUCGGAACGUGCCCAGUCGUGGGGGAUAACGUAGCGAAAGCUACGCUAAUACCGCAUACGAUCUAUGGAUGAAAGCGGGGGAUCGCAAGACCUCGCGCGAUUGGAGCGGCCGAUAUCAGAUUAGGUAGUUGGUGAGGUAAAGGCUCACCAAGCCGACGAUCUGUAGCUGGUCUGAGAGGACGACCAGCCACACUGGGACUGAGACACGGCCCAGACUCCUACGGGAGGCAGCAGUGGGGGAAUUUUUGGACAAUGGGCGCAAGCCUGAUCCAGCAAUGCCGCGUGCAGGAUGAAGGCCCUCGGGUUGUAAACUGCUUUUGUACGGAACGAAACGGUGAGCUCUAAUACAGUUUGCUAAUGACGGUA
RNAcentral lists this ribosomal RNA (456 nucleotides) under uncultured bacterium. Its description in RNAcentral is "bacterial SSU rRNA". It matches the Rfam family "Bacterial small subunit ribosomal RNA", at positions 30 to 477 of the family's 1533-position model. The record is from RNAcentral.